UACGGAGGGUGCAAACGUUGCUCGGAAUCAUUGGGCGUAAAGCGCACGUAGGCGGCUCGUUAAGUCGGGUGUGAAAGCCCUGGGCUCAACCCAGGAAGUGCAUUCGAAACUGGCGAGCUUGAAUAUGGAAGAGGGUCGCGGAAUUCCCGGUGUAGAGGUGAAAUUCGUAGAUAUUCGGAAGAACACCAGUGGCGAAGGCGGCUCACUGGCCCGGUACUGACGCUGAGGUGCGAAAGCGUGGGGAGCAAACAGG
This 253-nucleotide ribosomal RNA is filed under the name uncultured bacterium. RNAcentral describes it as "partial 16S ribosomal RNA". It matches the Rfam family "Bacterial small subunit ribosomal RNA", at positions 524 to 776 of the family's 1533-position model. The record is from RNAcentral.